UAACACCUCUCGGUGACUCGGGCGAUAUCUUGGACUUGUACGAACAUGUCAUUAUUGUGGUAUACCCGGACAUAUUCAGCGUUUCCGCUAUAAACUUCCCGGAAGGCCCCCUUAUUUGGCUACAACAAAUGUAGCUAAUGCAGCUGAGUUUAUUAUUCCUUCUCGCUCCUCCGAGGGAGGAACAUUUAUCAGAAUGUCAGAAGAGGAACUUGCUAGGUAUAAUCGGUUCCAGAUUUCUCAGCCGGUUUCCUCCUCCACAACUACCUUUGCUCAGACAAGUAAUGCAAUAGCAUGUCUCUCAUCUAUCUCUCGCUCCUAGAUCAUUGAUUCAAGUGCUACGGAUCACAUGACUGGAUCUUCAGGAUUUGAAGACGAAGAAGACGAUUUGUAGGGGACACAUGUCGAGGGGGCUAUAUGUGUUUGAUGAUACUACCAGUGUUGCUUGUUUGACAAUUUCUCCACAUAAAAUUCAUUGUCACUUGGGACAUCCCUCUUUGGGAAAUUUGAUGAAGUUAGAUUCCCAUUUUCAUUCUUUAUCUCGUAUUGAGUGUCGGUCAUGUCAAUUUGGAAAAUUGCACUGUAUUAAUUAUAGUCCAGGAGUUAAUAAACAGGCCUCUCGACCAUUUGCGUUAGUUCAUUCUAAUGUUUGGGGUCCUUGUCCGAUUACUUCAAAGUUGGGUUUUAAGUACUUCGUUACUUUUGUAGAUGAUUAUUCAAGAGCCACUUGGCUAUAUCUAAUGAAAAGUUGUUCUGAGUUAUUCUCUA
This is a long non-coding RNA of Rhodamnia argentea, 765 nucleotides long. RefSeq lists it as uncharacterized. The record is from RefSeq and is a predicted model, not a curated record. The transcript is spliced from 2 exons. Lineage: Eukaryota; Viridiplantae; Streptophyta; Magnoliopsida; Myrtales; Myrtaceae.